GUGCACAGAAGGGUAUGGGUCUAUGUAGUAUUAGCAGGUUUAAGGUAGCCUCCCUGUGCACAGAAGGGUAUGGGUCUAUGUAGUAUUAGCAGGUUUAAGGUAGCCUCCCUGUGCACAGAAGGGUAUGGGUCUAUGUAGUAUUAGCAGGUUUAAGGUAGCCUCCCUGUGCACAGAAGGGUAUGGGUCUAUGUAGUAUUAGCAGGUUUAAGGUAGCCUCCCUGUGCACAGAAGGGUAUGGGUCUAUGUAGUAUUAGCAGGUUUAAGGUAGCCUCCCUGUGCACAGAAGGGUAUGGGUCUAUGUAGUAUUAGCAGGUUUAAGGUAGCCUCCCUGUGCACAGAAGGGUAUGGGUCUAUGUAGUAUUAGCAGGUUUAAGGUAGCCUCCCUGUGCACAGAAGGGUAUGGGUCUAUGUAGUAUUAGCAGGUUUAAGGUAGCCUCCCUGUGCACAGAAGGGUAUGGGUCCAUGUAGUAUUAGCAGGUUUAAGGUAGCCUCCCUGUGCACAGAAGGGUAUGGGUCUAUGUAGUAUUAGCAGGUUUAAGGUAGCCUCCCUGUGCACAGAAGGGUAUGGGUCUAUGUAGUAUUAGCAGGUUUAAGGUAGCCUCCCUGUGCACAGAAGGGUAUGGGUCUAUGUAGUAUUAGCAGGUUUAAGGUAGCCUCCCUGUGCACAGAAGGGUAUGGGUCUAUGUAGUAUUAGCAGGUUUAAGGUAGCCUCCCUGUGCACAGAAGGGUAUGGGUCUAUGUAGUAUUAGCAGGUUUAAGGUAGCCUCCCUGUGCACAGAAGGGUAUGGGUCUAUGUAGUAUUAGCAGGUUUAAGGUAGCCUCCCUGUGCACAGAAGGGUAUGGGUCUAUGUAGUAUUAGCAGGUUUAAGGUAGCCUCCCUGUGCACAGAAGGGUAUGGGUCUAUGUAGUAUUAGCAGGUUUAAGGUAGCCUCCCUGUGCACAGAAGGGUAUGGGUCUAUGUAGUAUUAGCAGGUUUAAGGUAGCCUCCCUGUGCACAGAAGGGUAUGGGUCUAUGUAGUAUUAGCAGGUUUAAGGUAGCCUCCCUGUGCACAGAAGGGUAUGGGUCUAUGUAGUAUUAGCAGGUUUAAGGUAGCCUCCCUGUGCACAGAAGGGUAUGGGUCCAUGUAGUAUUAGCAGGUUUAAGGUAGCCUCCCUGUGCACAGAAGGGUAUGGGUCUAUGUAGUAUUAGCAGGUUUAAGGUAGCCUCCCUGUGCACAGAAGGGUAUGGGUCUAUGUAGUAUUAGCAGGUUUAAGGUAGCCUCCCUGUGCACAGAAGGGUAUGGGUCUAUGUAGUAUUAGCAGGUUUAAGGUAGCCUCCCUGUGCACAGAAGGGUAUGGGUCUAUGUAGUAUUAGCAGGUUUAAGGUAGCCUCCCUGUGCACAGAAGGGUAUGGGUCUAUGUAGUAUUAGCAGGUUUAAGGUAGCCUCCCUGUGCACAGAAGGGUAUGGGUCUAUGUAGUAUUAGCAGGUUUAAGGUAGCCUCCCUGUGCACAGAAGGGUAUGGGUCUAUGUAGUAUUAGCAGGUUUAAGGUAGCCUCCCUGUGCACAGAAGGGUAUGGGUCUAUGUAGUAUUAGCAGGUUUAAGGUAGCCUCCCUGUGCACAGAAGGGUAUGGGUCUAUGUAGUAUUAGCAGGUUUAAGGUA
This is a long non-coding RNA of Oncorhynchus keta (chum salmon), 1642 nucleotides long. RefSeq lists it as uncharacterized. The transcript has 10 exons. The record is from RefSeq and is a predicted model, not a curated record. Lineage: Eukaryota; Metazoa; Chordata; Actinopteri; Salmoniformes; Salmonidae.